Molecule: transfer RNA, 73 nt
Filed under: Felis catus (domestic cat)
Lineage: Eukaryota; Metazoa; Chordata; Mammalia; Carnivora; Felidae
Rfam family: tRNA
About the family: Transfer RNA (tRNA) molecules are approximately 80 nucleotides in length. Their secondary structure includes four short double-helical elements and three loops (D, anti-codon, and T loops).
Source: Rfam by way of RNAcentral
GCCUGGCUGGCUCAAUCAGUGGAGUGUGAGACUCUUGAUCUUGGAGGUGUGGGUUCAAGCCCCACUUUGGGUG